Molecule: ribosomal RNA, 266 nt
Filed under: uncultured bacterium
Lineage: Bacteria
Description: partial 16S ribosomal RNA
Rfam family: Bacterial small subunit ribosomal RNA
Source: RNAcentral
GUCCAUGCCGUAAACGAUGAGUGCUAAGUGGUUGGGAGGUUUCCGCCUCUCAGUGCUGCAGCUAACGCAUUAAGCACUCCGCCUGGGGAGUACGACCGCAAGGUUGAAACUCAAAGGAAUUGGACGGGGGCCCGCACAAGCGGUGGAGCAUGUGGUUUAAUUCGAAGCAACGCGAAGAACCUUACCAGGUCUUGACAUCCAGUGCAAACCUAAGAGAUUAGGUGUUCCCUUCGGGGACGCUGAGACAGGUGGUGCAUGGCUGUCGU